UACGUAGGGUGCGAGCGUUAAUCGGAAUUACUGGGCGUAAAGCGUGCGCAGGCGGCUUUGCAAGACAGAGGUGAAAUCCCCGGGCUCAACCUGGGAACUGCCUUUGUGACUGCAAGGCUAGAGUACGGCAGAGGGGGAUGGAAUUCCGCGUGUAGCAGUGAAAUGCGUAGAUAUGCGGAGGACACCGAUGGCGAAGGCAAUCCCUGGGCCUGUACUGACGCUCAUGCACGAAAGCGUGGGGAGCAA
Molecule: ribosomal RNA, 246 nt
Filed under: uncultured Burkholderiales bacterium
Lineage: Bacteria; Pseudomonadati; Pseudomonadota; Betaproteobacteria; Burkholderiales
Description: partial 16S ribosomal RNA
Rfam family: Bacterial small subunit ribosomal RNA
Source: RNAcentral